Molecule: ribosomal RNA, 232 nt
Filed under: Pseudopedinella elastica
Lineage: Eukaryota; Dictyochophyceae; Pedinellales
Description: partial Bacterial small subunit ribosomal RNA
Rfam family: Bacterial small subunit ribosomal RNA
Source: RNAcentral
CUGAGACACGGACCAGACUCCUACGGGAGGCAGCAGUGAGGAAUAUUGGACAAUGGAGGCAACUCUGAUCCAGCCAUGCCGCGUGCAGGAAGACUGCCCUAUGGGUUGUAAACUGCUUUUAUACAGGAAGAAACACUCUCACGUGUGAGAGCUUGACGGUACUGUAAGAAUAAGGAUCGGCUAACUCCGUGCCAGCAGCCGCGGUAAUACGGAGGAUGCAAGCGUUAUCCGG